Molecule: long non-coding RNA, 361 nt
Organism: Syzygium oleosum
Lineage: Eukaryota; Viridiplantae; Streptophyta; Magnoliopsida; Myrtales; Myrtaceae
Exons: 2
Source: RefSeq, a predicted model, not a curated record
GAGGGAGGGAGGCCAUCCUCUGGCAUUCACCUCAACUUCGGGCAAUCUUCAAUCCAUAAAUGUUGGAGAGAGGAGAGAUGGUUGUGAAGACUGCUUGAUAGUCUUUCCACGUUCCUCGUAUCUGUCAAGUUAAGAGAGGUUAGAGAAGAAGGAAAGAGAAGACUCCACACAUCCUCGUCCUCGGAAGGAAACCACACCUUCUCUCUAAAUUCGUUUCCAGAGAAAGUCGGUUGUUCGCAUCACAACUGGAAGCCAAGCCCUCGAUGAACUUUUAGGCGGUGGUAUUGAAUCUCUAACAAUUACAGAAGCAUUUGGCGAAUUUCGGUGAGAAGCACAGUCCAACAACGUUACCUUUGAUGAA